CCCAGCGUUACCCGGAUUUACUGGGCGUAAAGGACGAGAANGCGGGAACGUAAUGUUUACCCUAAAANUCACCGAGCUCAACUCGGUGAAUGGGGUAAAUACUGCGUUCCUAGAGUCUGCCAGGGGCCAGCGGAACGGUCGGUGUAGGGGUGAAAUCCNAUGAUAUCGACCGGAACGCCGAAGGCGAAGGCAGCUGGCUAGGGCAGUACUGACGCUGAUCUCGUGAAAGCCAGGGGCGCGAACCGGAUUANAUACCCGGGUAGUCCUGGCCGUAAACGAUGGGUGCUAGCUUUGGGGAGAGUCNACCCUCUCUGAGGCGAANCUAACGCGUUAANCACCCCGCCUGGGGA
Molecule: ribosomal RNA, 350 nt
Filed under: uncultured prokaryote
Description: bacterial SSU rRNA
Rfam family: Bacterial small subunit ribosomal RNA
Source: RNAcentral